GACGAACGCUGGCGGCGUGCUUAACACAUGCAAGUCGAACGGAAAGGCCCUGCUUUUGUGGGGGGCUCGAGUGGCGAACGGGUGAGUAACACGGGAGUAACCUGCCUUUGACUUGGGGAUAACUGCAGGAAACGGGGGCUAAUACCGGAUAGGAGCUCCGGCGGCAGGGUGGGGGUUGGAAAGUUUCGGCGGUUGGGGAUGGACUCGCGGCUUAUCAGCUUGUUUGUGGGGUAGUGGCUUACCAAGGCUUUGACGGGUAGCCGGCCUGAGAGGGUGACCGGCCCCAUUGGGACUGAGAUACGGCCCAGACUCCUACGGGAGGCAGCAGUGGGGAAUAUUGCACAAUGGGCGGAAGCCUGAUGCAGCAACGCCGCGUGCGGGAUGACGGCCUUCGGGUUGUAAACCGCUUUCGCCUGUGACGAAGCGUGAGUGACGGUAAUGGGUAAAGAAGCACCGGCUAACUACGUG
This 468-nucleotide ribosomal RNA is filed under the name uncultured bacterium. Its description in RNAcentral is "partial 16S ribosomal RNA". It matches the Rfam family "Bacterial small subunit ribosomal RNA", at positions 28 to 507 of the family's 1533-position model. The record is from RNAcentral.